GCCCGGUUAGCUCAAUCGGUAGAGCGUGAGACUCUUAAUCUCAAGGUUGCGGGUAGGUCCAUCGUGAUCAUCGUCUAAACACAACAGAACGAAAAAUUCUAACAAAACCUCAAUAGGUUCGACCCCCGCAUCGGGCU
Xylariaceae sp. FL0594 is the source of this 137-nucleotide non-coding RNA. The record is from the annotation of a GenBank genome assembly. NCBI's taxonomy places the organism in Eukaryota, Fungi, Ascomycota, Sordariomycetes, Xylariales, Xylariaceae.